AUCAGAAAUGUAAAUAUUAAACAUUUAGACAUGAAUAGUUUCCAUUUACUUUGUUCAAACAACCAACUUUCCUUAUUUUAAAUUUAAUGAGGAAAAUG
Melanotaenia boesemani (Boeseman's rainbowfish) is the source of this 98-nucleotide long non-coding RNA. RefSeq lists it as uncharacterized. Lineage: Eukaryota; Metazoa; Chordata; Actinopteri; Atheriniformes; Melanotaeniidae. The transcript has 4 exons. The record is from RefSeq and is a predicted model, not a curated record.